AGUGUGGUUAUUCUUCCCAGUCUGGAGAGGUCAGGGAGUGGCAAACUCAGUGUGCUUGCAUGCACUUUGGAGAGAUAUUAUUUAUGUAUGAGACACCAGUUUAAGUGAGGAUGUUGUUGUCUCCCACCCUGCCCUGGAGUAUUUGCCCACCAAUUACUGUCUCCUGCUGGUGUUGGCAGACACAGGAGGAGGAUGGUGGUCUGGGGGAACCUAGGGCCUACAAAGAGAGUGUGAAAGCUUUUUGGAAUUCCAAGUGAUCUCACUCCCAGGUUCCUGCAGGAUGUUGGGAAAGUAUGCUCUUUGCUUUCUUUCCCAGGAUUUCAUCAAGCAAGGUGGCCAUGAAGCUAUCACUUUCACUUAUCUCAGUUUAGGAAAGCUCUGAAUUCAUUGAUGAAUUAUGCUUAGCAGGCAUGAUGCACAUGUUGAACUUUUCUCCGGGACAAAUUAGGGACAUCUGAGAUGGAAGUGUGUAUUUUCUUACACAUCCAAUGGCCUGGAACAGCAUCUUGGUUUUUUGGAAAGCAGGGGCUAGAGCUCUGGUUGCUGUAAACUGCUUGGGUUUUCUUCCUUAUGGCUGUGAUGUCCUUGGAUUGAUACCUGGCCAUUUGCAAGCCUCUGCAUUACUCCACCAUCAUGAGCCUGAGGACUAGCUUCCACCUGGUCACUGCCUGCUUUGUCGUGGGCUUCACUCUCAUCACUGGUCUCAUGGUGAAGGUUUCCCAGUUAUCUUUCUGUGGACCCCAUGUCAUCCCUCACUUCUUCCGUGACCUCGGCCCUCUGAUCCAACUCUCCUGUUCUGACACCAGAUCUACUGAAACGUUGGCCUUUGUCCUUGUUUCAUUCGUUCUUUUUACAUCCCUCAUUAUAACCAUCAUUGCAUAUGGCAACAUAGUAGUCACAAUUGUACGACUCCCAUCAGCCAAGGAGCGGCAGAAAGCUUUCUCCACCUGCUCCUCUCACCUCAUUGUCCUCUCUCUGGUGUAUGGCAGCUGUGUCUUCAUAUAUGUGAAGCCGAAGCAAAUGGACAGGCUGGACUCCAACAGAAAGGCUGCUCUUGUGAACACAGUGGUGACCCCACUGCUGAACCCGAUCAUUUACACUCUGCGGAACAAGCAGGUCCACCAGGCUCUGAGGGAUGCUCAGUCCAGAAUGAAAUUGUAAAAACAGAAUCACAACCUCCCAGUGAAGGAAUGCACCUUCUCCUUGAUCUAAUCCAAUCUUUCUCCUGUUUCUGGAAUCCUUUAUAAAAAAUUUGCAAAUAUGUUUUUUUUAGGUUCUGUUUGUUUUUUCUUAGAAUAAGGGCUAAUUGUCCCUCUCCCUCUCCCUCUCCCUCUCCCUCUCCCUCUCCCUCUCUUUCCACGGUCUCCCUCUCCCUCUCUUUCCACGGUCUCCCUCUCAUGCCGAGCGGAAGCUGGACUGUGCUGCUGCCGUCUCGGCUCACUGCAACCUCCCUGCCUGAUUCUCCUGCCUCAGCCUGCCGAGUGCCUGCGAUUGCAGGCGCGCGCCGCCACGCCUGACAGGUUUUCGUAUUUUUUUGGUGGAGACGGGGUUUCGCUGUGUUGGCCGGGCUGGUCUCCAGCUCCUAACCGCGAGUGAUCCACCAGCCUCGGCCUCCCGAGGUGCUGGGAUUGCAGACGGAGUCUCGUUAACUCAGGGCUCAAUGGUGCCCAGGCUGGAGUGCAGUGGCGUGAUCUCGGCUACAACCUCCACCUCCCAGCCGCCUGCCUUGGCCCCCCAAAGUGCCGAGAUUGCAGCCUCUGCCCGGCCGCUACCCCGUCUGGGAUGUGAGGAGCCCCUCUGCCUGGCUGCCCAGUCUGGAAAGUGAGGAGCCUCUCUGCCCGGCCGCCAUCCCACCUAGGAAGUGAGGAGCGCCUCUUCCCGGCCACCAUCCCAUCUAGGAAGUGAGGAGCGUCUCUGCCUGGCCGCCCAUCGUCUGAGAUGUGGGGAGCACCUCUGCCCCGCCGCCCUGUCUGGGAUGAGAGGAGCGCCUCGGCCCGGCCGAGACCCCGUCUGGGAGGUGAGGAGCGUCUCUGCCCAGCCGCCCAGUCUGAGAAGUGAGGAGACCCUCCGCCUGGCAACCGCCCCAUCUGAGAAGUGAGGAGCCCCUCCGCCCGGCUGCCACCCCGUCCGGAAGGGAGGUGGGGGUCAGCCCCCGCCAGGCCAGCCGCCCCGUCCGGGAGGGAGGUGGGGGGUCAGCCCCCCACCCGGCCAGCCACCCUGUCCGGGAGGUGAGGGGCGCCUCUGCCCGGCCGCCCCUACUGGGAAGUGAGGAGCCCCUCUGCCCGGCCAGCCACCCUGUCCGGGAGGGAGGUGGGGGGGUCAGCCCCCGGCCCAGCCAGCCGCCCCAUCCGUGAGGGAGGUCGGGGGGUCAGCCCCCCACCAGGCGAGACGCCCCGUCCGGGAGGGAGGUGGGGAGUCAGCCCCCUGCCCGGCCAGCCGCCCCGUCCGGGAGGUGAGGGGCGCCUCUGCCCGGCCGCCCCUACUGGGAAGUGAGGAGCCCCUCUGCCCGGCCACCACCCCGUCUGGGAGGUGUACCCAACAGCUCAUUGAGAACGGGCCAUGAUGACAAUGGCGGUUUUGUGGAAUAGAAAAGGGGGAAAGGUGGGGGAAAGAUUGAGAAAUCAGAUGGUUGCUGUGUCUGUGUAGAAAGAAGUAGACAUGGGAGACUUUUCAUUUUGUUCUGUACUAAGAAAAAUUCUUCUGCCUUGGGAUCCUGUUGAUCUAUGACCUUAUCCCCAGCCCUGUGCUCUCUGAAACAUGUGCUGUGUCCACUCAGGGUUAAAUGGAUUAAGGGCGGCGCAAGAUGUGCUUUGUUAAACAGAUGCUUGAAGGCAGCAUGCUCGUUAACAGUCAUCACCACUCCCUAAUCUCAAGUACCCAGGGACACACACACUCUGCCUAGGAAAACCAGAGACCUUUGUUCACUUGUUUAUCUGCUGACCUUCCCUCCACUAUUGUCCUAUGACCCUGCCAAAUCCCCCUCUGUGAGAAACACCCAAGAAUGAUCAAUAAAAAAAAAAAAAGAAUAAGGGCUAAUUUAUCUAAUAAUUCAACCUGAAAGCUCCUAUAUUACCUUUAUUUUGAGAUGAAAGUAUCUUCCUGAAUCUUUUUACUAGUUUUAAAUAAAUAGGAUUCAACAAAUUUUAGUGAAGAACCUCAUAUACAUGAGUCUGUUUGAUGCAUGUGGAAUUUCAAAGCUGAAAUGAUGUAGUUUUAAGUAUUUACUUGUGGUAAGUGCAAAGGGAUGAAGAACAAACUUCAUAAGUAUUAAGAGUAUCAAGUUAGUUCAAGGGUAGAUAUAACAUGGUCAUUGUAUAAAGUUUUGAAGGAAACAUAUAUACACAGCUGUCAGGAUAUCAAUAUAAUUACUUAAGAUGACUCAGUGCAAUUGCUUUCAAUGUUGAAUAUUCUGUAUAUAAAUCUUUACACUUUUUGUUCCCACUAUGAUAAAAACAUAUAACUGUCUCUAGAUGAAGUUGCAAGUCCUUGUUGGUUUCAAUGGUUUGCAAGAUUGAUUUCAGUGCCGACAAACCUGAAAAUGAAGCAGCACAGGGGGAGAAACAUUACAAUUUUUGGAACAAGGAAUUAAAUAGUUAAUAUUUGUUUCCCUACUACAGAAAGUUUAAAGGAAUUGGGAGAAAUAUAAUCAGAGAUGGGAAGAAGUCUGUGACUGUGAAAUCUCUGCAAAUGAAUGUAUAAACAAGUCUCUUCAUUUGUGGAAUGAGAGGUUUGGUUGUGUCACCUCGGGAUGUUCAUUUUAGUACUAAUGUGAAGUGGCGCUAUUGAUACUGAAUGUGACACAGAAACAUGCUGUAACAGAAAUAUAAUUUGAGAAUGGCAGAGAGAAGAUGAUGAGAUGUUUUAAUGGAAGAACUUAUGCUACAACUGAAAUUUAGUUAUUCAAGAUUUUGAUAGGAAAUGAAUUAGAGACAAAACCCUGGAGCUAGGAUUUGUUUUGCGUACUUGGUUAAUGGCAAUGAUCAUGUUUUGUUUUGACCACAUAUUUCUGUGAUUGUGGUGGAACAGGAAUCAAAAGAAAUUAAAGAAUGUGUAAGCAGAAACUCAGUUGUAUGUAAGAAAGCCCAAUUCCCCCUGAGAAAGAGAAAGAGCUGGAGUCCUUUAAAAAUUAACUGCCUGUUUUACUGUGGCUAGUAAGCCUUAUCUCUCCUCCUUUCCCAGGCAUUGUGAAGACCCUGUUUCUCUAGCUGUACAGCUGCAAGGUCACUAGACAGAUAAGCCAUAAAACAUGUUUUUCCUUGGAAAGUAAGAAAUGUUGUAAUGCAUGUCUCAAUUAAUUAAAUAACUCUCUUUGUUUCUUGCUUCCGUAAUAUAUUUCCCCUGCACAGGUCUCCCCCCACCUCACGAAAUGCUUAAAAGGUAACUUAACUGUUUGUUCAGGGCUCAGUCCCUUGGAUGUUAAUCUGACUGGGCCGGCGCACCUAAAUAAUAAAUAUCCUCCUCAAUCCCAUCGGUCUCUCUGAUUCCUUAUCAAUCCCACUAGAGGGGGGAUAAUAAAAGAUUACGAUGGGAAAGUUUGAGGGACAUAAUUAUGUAAGAAUUAGAAAAACACACUUCAUUGAACUAGCAGAACCCAAAUUUUUGUUCACCCUAUGUGUAUAUAAGGAUUUUCAUACAACUUUGUGUAGACUUGUUUCUUUUUCUCACAUUUGCAGUGUUCAAACUGCUAAAGGGACUGACAAAGCAAUACCAAUGAACUGAGUGGUCAUUGCAUUUUUUUUGCCUUUAAAAUUUUUAAACAUUACUAGUCUGACAUAGUGAAUCAUAUUUAUCUACUUUGAAAUAAAUGGAAAAUAUAUACAAUGUUUUCAUUUACUUUCAUCUAUACAUAUAAAGUUACAUAGCUUAAAAAUAAUUGCAUUGUUUGUGAUUAACACAAUUUGUUUACAAUUUAGUAUACUAAAGAUAUUCCACAAUUUUUAAUACACUUAUUUGUUGAUACACAUUUGAGCUAUUUCUGCCUUUUGGCUAUUGUGAAUAGUACUGUUAUGAACAUGUGUGUACAUUUACUUGUUUGAGUACUUGUUUUCAAGUCUUUAGGGGUAUAUACCUCGGAGAUAAAUUGUGAGGGUAGGGGAACAGGCAGCAAUAGCUUAAUGGGUAUGGGGUUUCCUUUGGAGAUGAUAUUAUAAAAAUGUUUUGGAACUAGAUAGAGGUGGUGGUUGUAUAACAUUUUGAACGUACUGCAUGCCGCUGAAUUGUUCACUUUUAAAUGAUUAAUUUUAUAUGUACAUUUACCUUAAUAAAAAAUUCCAUAGUUCUGAAAGUUUUA
Homo sapiens (human) is the source of this 5290-nucleotide long non-coding RNA. Lineage: Eukaryota; Metazoa; Chordata; Mammalia; Primates; Hominidae. The record is from Ensembl.